This 253-nucleotide ribosomal RNA is filed under the name uncultured bacterium. RNAcentral describes it as "partial 16S ribosomal RNA". It matches the Rfam family "Bacterial small subunit ribosomal RNA", at positions 524 to 776 of the family's 1533-position model. The record is from RNAcentral.
GACGAACCGUGCAAACGUUAUUCGGAAUCACUGGGCAUAAAGGGCGCGUAGGCGGCUUUCUAAGUCAGGGGUGAAAUCCGGCAGCUCAACUGUCGCAGUGCCUUUGAUACUGGAGAGCUCGAGGGAGGUAGGGGUCUGUGGAACUUCCGGUGGAGCGGUGAAAUGCGUAGAUAUCGUAAGGAAGACCAGUGGCGAAGGCGGGUCUCUGGACAGUUCCUGACGCUGAGGCACGAAGGUCAGGGGAGCAAACGGG